Molecule: ribosomal RNA, 497 nt
Filed under: uncultured bacterium
Lineage: Bacteria
Description: partial 16S ribosomal RNA
Rfam family: Bacterial small subunit ribosomal RNA
Source: RNAcentral
GAUGAACGCUGGCGGCGUGCCUAAUACAUGCAAGUCGAGCGAACGGACGAGAAGCUUGCUUCUCUGAUGUUAGCGGCGGACGGGUGAGUAACACGUGGAUAACCUACCUAUAAGACUGGGAUAACUUCGGGAAACCGUAGCUAAUACCGGAUAAUAUUUUGAACUGCAUGGUUCAAAAGUGAAAGACGGUCUUACUGUCACUUAUAGAUGGAUCCGCGCUGCAUUAGCUAGUUGGUAAGGUAACGGCUUACCAAGGCAACGAUGCAUAGCCGACCUGAGAGGGUGAUCGGCCACACUGGAACUGAGACACGGUCCAGACUCCUACGGGAGGCAGCAGUAGGGAAUCUUCCGCAAUGGGCGAAAGCCUGACGGAGCAACGCCGCGUGAGUGAUGAAGGUCUUCGGAUCGUAAAACUCUGUUAUUAGGGAAGAACAUAUGUGUAAGUAACUGUGCACAUCUUGACGGUACCUAAUCAGAAAGCCACGGCUAACUACGUG